AUUGAACGCUGGCGGCAUGCCUUACACAUGCAAGUCGAGCGGCAGCACGGGAGCAAUCCUGGUGGCGAGUGGCGAACGGGUGAGUAAUAUAUCGGAACGUGCCCAGUCGUGGGGGAUAACGUAGCGAAAGCUACGCUAAUACCGCAUACGAUCUAUGGAUGAAAGCGGGGGAUCGCAAGACCUCGCGCGAUUGGAGCGGCCGAUAUCAGAUAGCUAGUUGGUGGGGUAAAGGCCCACCAAGGCGACGAUCUGUAGCUGGUCUGAGAGGACGACCAGCCACACUGGGACUGAGACACGGCCCAGACUCCUACGGGAGGCAGCAGUGGGGAAUUUUGGACAAUGGGCGCAAGCCUGAUCCAGCAAUGCCGCGUGCAGGACGAAGGCCUUCGGGUUGUAAACUGCUUUUGUACGGAACGAAACGGCCCCUUCUAAUACAGGGGGCUAAUGACGGUACCGUAAGAAUAAGCACCGGCUAACUACGUGCCAGCCGCCGCCGUAA
This 499-nucleotide ribosomal RNA is filed under the name uncultured bacterium. RNAcentral's name for it is "partial 16S ribosomal RNA". It matches the Rfam family "Bacterial small subunit ribosomal RNA", at positions 29 to 523 of the family's 1533-position model. The record is from RNAcentral.